AAGAUACUCAAAACUCGAAGACUCUUCGUAAAGGUCGUAGAGUUCUUGGCAAUCCUUGAAGCCUUAAGAGACUGGAUGUCAACUAGGAGCAUCAUGAGCCUCCUCGAGGUACAGACCAUCAUCGCACUAAUAGAGUAAAGAAACUAGCCCAAAAUGCUACAAGCACAACAACAAAUCAGACUCCUCAAUAGAGCUUCAGGAAACUACACAACCAUUUCG
Molecule: unclassified non-coding RNA, 219 nt
Filed under: Hevea brasiliensis (rubber tree)
Lineage: Eukaryota; Viridiplantae; Streptophyta; Magnoliopsida; Malpighiales; Euphorbiaceae
Source: RNAcentral